UUUUUUUUUUUUCCUUUUAGGGCUGUACCUGUGGCACAUGGAAGUUCCCAGGCUAGGGGUCAAAUAGGAGCUGCCACUGAUGGUCUAUACCACAGAGACAGCAAUACCUGAUCUAAGCCACAUUUGUGACCUAGGCCACAGCUUGUGGCAACGCCAGAUCCUUAAUUCACUGAGCAGGGACACAGACUGAACCUGUACCCUCACAAACACUACGUCAGAUUCUUAACCCACUGAGCCACAAUGGGAACUCCUGGUAAUGACUUUUUAGAUAUGAUGCCAAAAACACAGUACGUGAAAUAAUGAUAAGCUAGACUUCAUUAAAAUUUAAAAAUUCUGCUAUGCAAAAGACACUUUCAAGAGAAUGAGACAACAAGCCACACAUUAGGAGAAAAUUCUGCAUAAGUCUUAUCUGAUAAAAAACCAUUAUUGAAAAUAUGAACUCUUUAAAACUCAAGAGUAAGAAAAAAAGCAAAUCAUUAAAAAAUAGGCCAAAGACCUUAACAGAUAACUCACGAAAUUAGAUAUACAGAUGGCAAACAAUCAUACAAAAAGGUGUUUCGUGUCAUAUCUCAUCAAGGAAAUGCAAAUUAAAAAAACAGUAAGACACCACUACACAACUGGAUGGUCAUAAUCAAAAAACACCCACGACAACACCAACUGCUGGUGAGGAUGUGGAGCCACAGGAACUCUCACUAAGUACUGGUGAAAAUGUAAAUGGAUACAGCCACUUUAUAAGGCAGUUUAACAAUUUCUAACAAAACCACACAUACCCUUACCACACAGUCCAGCAAUCAUGUUUCUUGGAAUUUACCUAAAGGUGUUAAAAACUCUGUCCACACAGAAACCUUCACAUAUAUGUUUGUAGCUGCUUUAUUAUAACUGCCAAAACUUGGAAACAACCAUGAUAUCCUUUGGGAGAUGGAAGGAUAACUAAACUGUGGUACACCUGGGCAAUGGACUAUUAUUACUCAGCCCUAAAAAGAAAUAAGCUAUAAAGCAAUGAAAAGAUAUGGAGGAAGCUUAAAUGCCUUAUUCCCAAAGAGGCUGAACUAAAAAGGCUACAUAGUCCAUGAUUCCAAUUAAAUAACUUUCUGGAAAAGGUAAAGCCUUGGAGAGAGUGAAAUGAUCAGUGGUUAGGCUGGGUUAGGGGGAGGGAGGGAUGAACAGGCAGAGCAGAGAGAAUUUUUAGGUCUGUGAAAAUACUCUGCAAGAUACUAUAAUGGUGGGUGCUUGUCACUAUACAUUUGUCUCAACUCAUUGAGUCCACAACACCAGGACUGAACCCAAAAGCAAACUAUAUGGACUUUGGCUGAUUAUGCUGUGUCAGUGUAGGUUCAUCAAUUGUAACAAAUGUACCACUGUUGUGAGAGGUGUUGAUAAUUAGGGAAAUUAUGUAUGUGUGGGCAGGGAGUAUAUGGGAACUCU
Molecule: long non-coding RNA, 1425 nt
Filed under: Sus scrofa (pig)
Lineage: Eukaryota; Metazoa; Chordata; Mammalia; Artiodactyla; Suidae
Description: lncRNA (ENSSSCG00005037678.1)
Source: RNAcentral